GAUUGAACGCUGGCGGCAGGCUUAACACAUGCAAGUCGAGCGGUAGCACARGGGAGCUUGCUCCCUGGGUGACGAGCGGCGGACGGGUGAGUAAUGUCUGGGAAACUGCCUGAUGGAGGGGGAUAACUACUGGAAACGGUAGCUAAUACCGCAUAACGUCGCAAGACCAAAGAGGGGGACCUUCGGGCCUCUUGCCAUCAGAUGUGCCCAGAUGGGAUUAGCUAGUAGGUGGGGUAAUGGCUCACCUAGGCGACGAUCCCUAGCUGGUCUGAGAGGAUGACCAGCCACACUGGAACUGAGACACGGUCCAGACUCCUACGGGAGGCAGCAGUGGGGAAUAUUGCACAAUGGGCGCAAGCCUGAUGCAGCCAUGCCGCGUGUGUGAAGAAGGCCUUCGGGUUGUAAAGCACUUUCAGCGAGGAGGAAGGUGGUGAGCUUAAUACGYUCAUCAAUUGACGUUACUCGCARAARAAGCACCGGCUAACUCC
RNAcentral lists this ribosomal RNA (488 nucleotides) under Serratia marcescens. Its description in RNAcentral is "bacterial SSU rRNA". It matches the Rfam family "Bacterial small subunit ribosomal RNA", at positions 27 to 504 of the family's 1533-position model. The record is from RNAcentral. Lineage: Bacteria; Pseudomonadati; Pseudomonadota; Gammaproteobacteria; Enterobacterales; Yersiniaceae.